AUGGCCACGGCGCAGAAUCGCCGCGCUCCUCUUCCUCCCUCUCACGCAGAAAAGAAAAAGGAGGACACGACGAGCGCCUCUCUGUCUCUCUCGCGCGGAAACGGAGAUGGGAGGGGGAAGGGGCUGCCUUGCCGGUGCCGCCUUGGCUCGCCGCGCCGGCGAUGGCGCGCGCACCGGGGCCGAGCGGGCGGGCGAGAGAGGAACGGACAAGCGAGAGAAGCGCUGGGGGCGGAAUGGCGUUAG
Molecule: ribosomal RNA, 243 nt
Filed under: Triticum aestivum (bread wheat)
Lineage: Eukaryota; Viridiplantae; Streptophyta; Magnoliopsida; Poales; Poaceae
Description: partial small subunit ribosomal RNA
Source: RNAcentral